AUGGCGGAAUGGCAGAACUUGAAAGUCAAGGCGGCUGUUGGCUGUGUUUUACCUACUGAACCCGGCGCAACCUACCACUGCCGGCAGAUUCCAGAAGGAUAUGCUAGGGUGAUGGUGGAUGAAAUAACGGAGGGAUUUGAGGACCUCCAGCUUGACCACCCUACCGGUGAAGGGGAGACUCGACUGGGUUUAGCUCUAAAGACUCCAUGCCUAUGGCGGAAGGAGCUCAUCAAGCUUCCGAACUGGACGGCUCCGGCGAGUAAGGGCACUCCGCCUCCUCCUCCGGCGAGUGAUCAGGGCACUCAUCAGCCUCCUUCUCCGGCGUGUGGCGGCACUCCGCCUCCUUCUCCGCCUGCGCCGGCGUGCCAGAGCAGCCAACCUCCUCCUUCUCCGCCUCGUCAGCAAGGGCAGAAGAGACCCGCCGCCGCUGCGGCUGCUCCGGCGCGUCGUAGUCCUUCUCCUCCGCCUCGUAAGCAAGGAAAGAAGACAGCCGCAGCCGCUCCGUCUGCUCUGCCGGCGUCUAGCAGUACAGCUGCCAGAGGCGGGAGGCAAUACAGAUUCGGUCCUUCUCUGAAGACUCCAGAGAAGUUACCAUAUGAGAGGACCGAGGAGGAGAACUCGAAGAUCGUGCGAGCCGAAGUGAAGAACUUCUUUGAAGGGGACAAAGCAAAGAAACAUCCACCUCCGGAGGAGAAGGUAGAUCCGGUGAAAGCAAAGCGCACUCUGGCUGCCCUGACAAAACCACCAAAGUCUCCGCCAAAAGGCAACUAUGAGCGCGUUCUUGCAAAGGCAUAUGCCGAAGCGGAGCGGUCGGGAAGUACUGUCAGUGAUAAAAGGAUGAAAGAACGACGAGCUGGGGAAAAAAUUGCCCAGCUCGGCGAACAAGAGAACCAAUCGUGCCCCCCGCUCAAGGUGUCAAAAGACAUCGUCGCUAAUGAUCCGGGUAUGGUGCCUGGUUAUACCGAUCUUGGAGAUUACCUGCCCGACGAUGUACAUUAUGAAAUCAUGGAGGUGGAUGAACACAAAUACCAUUACGGGAAGCCUCUCGUCAAAUAUGUCAAAUCUCUAAGCACGAUGAUGCGAAGACUACAUGAUUGGUACAUGAAAACCUGCAGAGAGUCUGAUGGGAUGAGUACUUUAACGCUGAGAGUUAAACCGGAGCAUGACCUCGUUGGAAUUGAACUGCUGAAUGUUCCAUUUGAGGAUUUCUUCCAGUUUUACAAUCUAAAGUCCCUCGAUAAAACAAUGAUCACUUGCUACUGUCUAUUGAAGAUCGCCGAAUUGAAGAAAAGACAAAUCGGUGAUAUUGGGUUCAUUAACACAAAUCUCAUAGAUGAUUAUCAGGUUAAAUUUCAUGCCAAAGAUACCGAGGCCAACUUGCUACAAUCGUUGGUAAUAAAUCAAAACAAAGAUAUAAUACUCUUUCCUUACAACUUCAACUUCCACUAUAUUCUCCUAGAGAUUAAGCUUGAGCCGGGAGUAGUAACCGUCUUAGACUCGAGACGAAAAGAUCCCCAGGACUAUGCGAACAUGACUCAAAUGCUCCAGAAGGUUUGGAGAAAAUUCACCUCAAAAGCCCCGGGACUGCCGAACCAGCUGCAAUUUAGACACCCGAAAUGGUUGUGGCAGCAACCCGGGAAUAAUUACUGUGGAUACUCCAUUUGCGAGUCCAUCCGCUACCAUACCUGUGAGCGGGGCUACACUGAAGAACAAUAUGAAAAUUUUCGGAAGCGGGAUCAACUCCUAGCACCAGAUCGUAUGCGAGGAAUUCAAGAGGAAUUGGCGGCAUUCUUCCUUGACCACGUGAUCGCUGAAAACGGAGAAUACUAUGUGGACCCUGUGUUCCUACAAUAUAAUUAG
RNAcentral lists this ribosomal RNA (1860 nucleotides) under Triticum aestivum (bread wheat). RNAcentral's name for it is "partial small subunit ribosomal RNA". Lineage: Eukaryota; Viridiplantae; Streptophyta; Magnoliopsida; Poales; Poaceae. The record is from RNAcentral.